RNAcentral lists this ribosomal RNA (482 nucleotides) under uncultured bacterium. Its description in RNAcentral is "bacterial SSU rRNA". It matches the Rfam family "Bacterial small subunit ribosomal RNA", at positions 37 to 507 of the family's 1533-position model. The record is from RNAcentral.
UGGCGGCAGGCCUAACACAUGCAAGUCGAGCGGUAACAUUUCUAGCUUGCUAGAAGAUGACGAGCGGCGGACGGGUGAGUAACGCGUAGAAAUCUACCUAGUAGUGGGGGAUAGCCCAGAGAAAUUUGGAUUAAUACCGCAUACGCCCUACGGGGAAAGCGGGGGAUCUUCGGACCUCGUGCUAUUAGAUGAGUCUGCGUCGGAUUAGCUUGUUGGUGAGGUAAUGGCUCACCAAGGCGACGAUCCGUAGCUGGUCUGAGAGGAUGACCAGCCACACUGGAACUGAGACACGGUCCAGACUCCUACGGGAGGCAGCAGGUGGGGAAUAUUGCACAAGUGGGCGCAAGCCUGAUGCAGCCAUGCCGCGUGUGUGAAGAAGGCCGUUAGGGUUGUAAAGCUACUUUCAGCAGUGAGGAAAGGGGUGUCGUUAAUAGCGCCAUCCUGUGACGUUAACUGCAGAAGAAGGACCGGCUAACUCCGUG